This 90-nucleotide transfer RNA is filed under the name Rhodopila globiformis. Its description in RNAcentral is "tRNA-Ser". It matches the Rfam family "tRNA". From Rfam's summary of the family: Transfer RNA (tRNA) molecules are approximately 80 nucleotides in length. Their secondary structure includes four short double-helical elements and three loops (D, anti-codon, and T loops). Lineage: Bacteria; Pseudomonadati; Pseudomonadota; Alphaproteobacteria; Acetobacterales; Acetobacteraceae. The record is from RNAcentral.
GGAGAGGUGCCGGAGCGGUCGAUCGGGGCGGUCUCGAAAACCGUUGUACCUUUAUGGGUACCGAGGGUUCGAAUCCCUCCCUCUCCGCCA